UACGGAGGAUCCGAGCGUUAUCCGGAUUUAUUGGGUUUAAAGGGUGCGCAGGCGGAAGAUUAAGUCGGUGGUGAAAUUUUGCAGCUCAACUGUAAAAGUGCCAUUGAUACUGGUUUUCUUGAGUGUGGAUGAAGUAGGCGGAAUUUGUGGUGUAGCGGCGAAAUGCAUAGAUAUCACGAGGAACUCCGAUUGCGCAGGCAGCUUACUAAACCAUAACUGACGCUCAGGCACGAAGGCGUGGGGAUCAAACAGGAUUAGAUACCCGGGUA
Molecule: ribosomal RNA, 269 nt
Filed under: uncultured prokaryote
Description: partial 16S ribosomal RNA
Rfam family: Bacterial small subunit ribosomal RNA
Source: RNAcentral